GUUAAAAGCACCAACCACUUGGUGUUUGCAAGUUUUUCACCGUUAGGUCUAUUCUUUUAAUUAAUUCCACUCCUUACAUUAUGGUAUUUCACCAACCACUCACUCAAUCAUAAAAAAUUACUAUUAUUUUUACCAUACAAAUCUUUAUCCAAAGGCCAAAAACUUAUCAGCACCAAUGACAUGUGCUUUUAAAACCAUGGGAGCUCAAUUCCAUUAAUAAAU
This 222-nucleotide long non-coding RNA is filed under the name Ananas comosus (pineapple). RNAcentral describes it as "long non-coding RNA (ACOM_LNC023587)". The record is from RNAcentral. Lineage: Eukaryota; Viridiplantae; Streptophyta; Magnoliopsida; Poales; Bromeliaceae.